This 253-nucleotide unclassified non-coding RNA is filed under the name uncultured Parcubacteria group bacterium. RNAcentral's name for it is "contains 16S-23S intergenic spacer region". It matches the Rfam family "Bacterial small subunit ribosomal RNA", at positions 524 to 776 of the family's 1533-position model. The record is from RNAcentral.
UACGUGAGCCUCAAGCGUUACCCGGAAUCACUGGGCGUAAAGGGUGUGUAGGCGGCAUAGUUAGUCUUUUGUUAAAUCGUCCGGCUCAACCGGACGGCUGCGGGAGAAACGGCUAUGCUCGAGGAUGCAAGGGGUGUACGGAACUCACGGUGUAGGGGUGAAAUCCGUUGAUAUCGUGGGGAACACCAAAAGCGAAGGCAGUACACUGGUGCACUCCUGACGCUGAGACACGAAAGCCAGGGUAGCGAAUGGG